Molecule: ribosomal RNA, 468 nt
Filed under: uncultured bacterium
Lineage: Bacteria
Description: partial 16S ribosomal RNA
Rfam family: Bacterial small subunit ribosomal RNA
Source: RNAcentral
GACGAACGCUGGCGGCGUGCUUAACACAUGCAAGUCGAACGGAAAGGCCCUGCUUUUGUGGGGUGCUCGAGUGGCGAACGGGUGAGUAACACGUGAGUAACCUGCCCUUGACUUUGGGAUAACUUCAGGAAACUGGGGCUAAUACCGGAUAGGAGCUCCUGCUGCAUGGUGGGGGUUGGAAAGUUUCGGCGGUUGGGGAUGGACUCGCGGCUUAUCAGCUUGUUGGUGGGGUAGUGGCUUACCAAGGCUUUGACGGGUAGCCGGCAUGAGAGGGUGACCGGCCACCUGGGGACUGAGAGACGGCCCAGACUCCUACGGGAGGCAGCAGUGGGGAAUAUUGCACAAUGGGCGGAAGCCUGAUGCAGCAACGCCGCGUGCGGGAUGACGGCCUGCGGGUUGUAAACCGCUUUCGCCUGUGACGAAGCGUGAGUGACGGUAAUGGGUAAAGAAGCACCGGCUAACUACGUG